RNAcentral lists this ribosomal RNA (255 nucleotides) under uncultured bacterium. RNAcentral's name for it is "partial 16S ribosomal RNA". It matches the Rfam family "Bacterial small subunit ribosomal RNA", at positions 524 to 776 of the family's 1533-position model. The record is from RNAcentral.
UACGUAGGGGGCAAGCGUUGUCCGGAUUUAUUGGGCGUAAAGAGCGUGUAGGCGGCCAGGUAGGUCCGUUGUGAAAACUCGAGGCUCAACCUCGAGACGCCGAUGGAAACCAUCUGGCUAGAGUCCGGAAGAGGAGAGUGGAAUUCCCGGUGAUAGCGGUGAAAUGCGCAGAUAUCGGGAAGAACACCCGUGGCUAAGGCGGCUCUCUAGUACGGUACUGACGCUGAGACGCGAAAAGCGUGGGGAGCGAACAGG